RNAcentral lists this ribosomal RNA (497 nucleotides) under uncultured bacterium. RNAcentral describes it as "partial 16S ribosomal RNA". It matches the Rfam family "Bacterial small subunit ribosomal RNA", at positions 28 to 507 of the family's 1533-position model. The record is from RNAcentral.
GAUGAACGCUGGCGGCGUGCCUAAUACAUGCAAGUCGAGCGAACAGACGAGGAGCUUGCUCCUCUGACGUUAGCGGCGGACGGGUGAGUAACACGUGGAUAACCUACCUAUAAGACUGGGAUAACUUCGGGAAACCGGAGCUAAUACCGGAUAAUAUAUUGAACCGCAUGGUUCAAUAGUGAAAGACGGUUUUGCUGUCACUUAUAGAUGGAUCCGCGCCGCAUUAGCUAGUUGGUAAGGUAACGGCUUACCAAGGCAACGAUGCGUAGCCGACCUGAGAGGGUGAUCGGCCACACUGGAACUGAGACACGGUCCAGACUCCUACGGGAGGCAGCAGUAGGGAAUCUUCCGCAAUGAGCGAAAGCUUGACGGAGCAACGCCGCGUGAGUGAUGAAGGUCUUCGGAUCGUAAAACUCUGUUAUUAGGGAAGAACAAAUGUGUAAGUAACUAUGCACGUCUUGACGGUACCUAAUCAGAAAGCCACGGCUAACUACGUG